Molecule: ribosomal RNA, 253 nt
Filed under: uncultured bacterium
Lineage: Bacteria
Description: partial 16S ribosomal RNA
Rfam family: Bacterial small subunit ribosomal RNA
Source: RNAcentral
UACGUAGGGGGCAAGCGUUGUCCGGAAUCAUUGGGCGUAAAGCGCGCGUAGGCGGCCCGGUAAGUCCGCUGUGAAAGUCAAAGGCUCAACCUUUGAAUGUCAGCGGAUACUGCCGGGCUAGAGUCCGGAAGAGGCGAGUGGAAUUCCUGGUGUAGCGGUGGAAUGCGCAGAUAUCAGGAGGAACACCAACGGCGAAGGCAGCUCGCUGGGACGGUACUGACGCUGAGGCGCGAAAGCGUGGGGAGCGAACAGG